CUCCACUGGGACUGUCCCCAAGGGUCACCUGUGGGUGAGGACGGCAUUGCUGACAGACAUCCAGAAGUUGGGGCCACAGGCUGGCAGAUUGGGAAGACGUGGAUGCCAGCCCCCAGUGUCCCUGAGGAGGGUGGUGCCCACCUCCCAGAGACCACAGCUCUGUGCCGUCUGCCCGGAGAUCGGCACUCCUCUGCAGAAACCUUGGCCCAGGUCCCAGGUGGAGACAAACAGGAACCUCUACCCUCCUCUGCCUGUUAGUACUGGAUGGUGUGAGCGAGGUCCCCCAGCUGCACCACAGCAGGGCAGGAGACAGCAGUUAAAACUGUGCCUCGGCCCUCGCGCCAGGGUGCCCGCCCAGAACAGUGGGAGCAGUGCUUCCUGUUGCAGCCCCCACCCAGCCAGGCACAGGCCCAGUGCCUCUGUGGGACUCCAUCCAGGACUUGUUGAAAUGGCCGAUGAUACAAAGGAGCCCCGACUUCACCCAUGGCCAGCUUCCCUCGCCAUCCUCCCUGCAGCCAAAGGACUCGCCCUCACCUGUUCUUUCUGAGACAAAUCAUCUGCCAGGUUUCCGCCUCGGGACACCCAAGCUCAGCACAGACAGCCUAGCAGCCUGGGUGACAGGAUCCCAGGGGACAGGAUUCUCUCCUUGCCAUGGGGAUGAGGACAAAUUCUCCCUUCAUCCUUGAGAUUGGACUCCCGCCACACAUCCUGGAGGAGCCUACAGAGAAGCCGGCAGGUCUCCCUCACCUGGAUGGUGCCAGCGGGUGGCCUGGACCACCCAGAGGCCCUCUCCUGCACCUGACAGGAAGCCCCUGGGGCAUACGUCUCCCCUGCCACUUCCACUGUGGCCACUGGAAGUGUGGCAGAGAAAAUAGCUAGGACAAAAAGAAGUCAAUGAUUUCAACCAACGGAAUUUCUUUGUCCUUUGUAAAAAUCAACACAUGAUCUGUUACUGAUUGGGAUGUGAAAUAAAACUAAAAAUAACAGCACACUGAGCCUGGCUCAGGGCUCAGCUCACCUUUACCACGGUCCAAGUUCAGUUUAUCAGAUCCCAAGGAGCAGCUAAGCAGCAAGUCAAACACAGGUGAGGGUGGAGGGCGGAGGGCGGAGCGGGGAGGGGGCUCUGGCCCUCUGCGUGCCCCCACCAACCCCCAGGUAGAGAACCAGCCAGCUCACCAGGGAGUGUGGCCAAGCAAGAAGCUAUACACAGAAUUCUGAGCCCACACCCUAAUCUGCCUCAGGUGGGGAGGCCACUCACUUCCCUUUUUGCCUCAGUUUCCCCACUGGGGUUACCAGGGUCUUCUGGCACAUUCCCUUGUUUUAAGGAACGGUGGAAGAGGGGUCCCCUUGAGAUCAGGUUAAGCUGUGAAACAUCCUGCCAGCGCCACAGGCCACUGGGUCCUGGAAGGUCAGGCCACAAAGACC
RNAcentral lists this long non-coding RNA (1425 nucleotides) under Homo sapiens (human). RNAcentral describes it as "HSALNT0176908". Lineage: Eukaryota; Metazoa; Chordata; Mammalia; Primates; Hominidae. The record is from RNAcentral.